RNA transcript from Spinacia oleracea (spinach), 2053 nucleotides. RefSeq lists it as uncharacterized. Lineage: Eukaryota; Viridiplantae; Streptophyta; Magnoliopsida; Caryophyllales; Amaranthaceae. The record is from RefSeq and is a predicted model, not a curated record. The transcript is spliced from 6 exons.
UGGAGGAACGAACGACUGCGAUUAAAUCUUCCAGAAAAACAUUACUCUUUCUCUCUCUACUUCCAACCAACGAGACCAUUUUUCUCUCUCUAGUUCCAAACGAACGUUCAAAUUUAGCUUAAAUGCGCAAGUUCAUCUCAAACUUGUUGUCGAUUCGAGAUCAUAACUUGGUGAUUCAAUCCAAAUUUUCUUAAAGAUAGAGCUUGAAUUUUAUUAAAUUUGAUCGAUAUAGGUUUAAUUGAAGUUUACGUCUCUAAUUGUGGCAAGUGGAUUUGCUGGAGGUGUCGCCAAGGCUGCUAGCAAUCAUUGUUUUUUCAGGACUGGGAGUUGUGAUACGAGGGAGUGAGGGCGAGGUAUUGGCAUGCUCAGUUUGGCAGGGGGUGGAGAAGUGGGAAACUCGAGUUGCCGAAGCAAAGGCAGUUCUAGUGGGGAUGCAGGUCUGCAGGGAGAUGGGAGUGCGCAGGGUGAUAAUUGAGAGUGACUGCCUGGCGGUAAUUCAAGUCCUACGAAGUGGAGCAAGUGGCAGCAGCAGCUAUGCUCUUGUGGUGGAUGAUAUCCUAGCUAUGUGUUCUUACUUUGAGAAUGUUUUAUUGGCUUUUGUUAAACGUAGUGGCAACAAAGUUGCCCAUAGUCUUGCUCACUUCCAACCCUAGGAUUAUGGGCAACAAACAUGGAGCAACGAUGUGCCGAACUCUAUCUUGCAAGCAGCUACAGCUGAUUUAUUAAUAUAAGCUACCUUAAAUGGGUUCCUUCAAAAAAAAAGAAUAAUAGUUGAUAAUUAAGACGAUGUGGUUACACAAACUGAUAAAGUAACUAAAAUUGUUAAGUGUUGGUGGCUUAGAAACAAUCUUGGGACUAGGUUCAGAGUUGUUGGAAGCGUCUAGUUUCUGCACAACGACCUGAUCAUGUGUGGAUGCAGUAAUAUUGUGGUGUAUCUUGGUGAUUUUUGGGAGGUUGUGUGCUAAGGUAGGUGAUGGCUUGUGGUUAAGAUGUAUGCAGGCGAAUACGAGAUUGUGUUGAACUUGAUUUGUGUGUUCAAUUAGUUUUUAUCCUAAUGUGUUUUGUUUACUUUUGGAGAGAUUAAAUUUACUUUUCAAGAGAUUUAGUUUACUUUUAGGGUCUGGUUUACAACCUUGUUCUUUUUUUGUGGUUUGAUUGCUAGUUUGAGAUUUAGUUGCUGAGUACAAGAAACAAGAUGUCUUUCACAUAUCAAAUUUUAAAAGGAAGACUCAUGUCAUGCAUGUGCCGGCUGUUUAUCAGACGACAAGAAGUCAACUGUUGUAAAGGAUGAUAAAAGCAUCCAGGACGAGUAUUUCAAAGCUUAUUAUGCUGCUAUAUUGGAACGACAACGGGAAACAGAUGUCAAGGGGGAGCCGGAUGUAUCUAGUGAAGAAGUUACGGGUCAAAACACAAGUUGGCUUGAAAUCAAAAUGCGAGGAACAGAGUGAGGAUGAGGAUGUAUGGGAAGAAGCUACACUUUCAGGAAAAUGGAACACUGGGGAAAGCUACAAGGUGGACUUGAACAUUAAAGCCGAACCUCUACCGGAGGAGGAGGAGAAUAACGAUGACGAAGAUGUUGAGUGGGAAGAUGGUUAGUUGCUAGUAUAGGUUUACAUUGGUAAGCUGCUUGAAAUAGUCACUCAUAAAGUAGUAUUUUCUCUUAUUUUAAAAAGUAGAUCGAAACUUGGUAGAAGUAAAUCAAAUAGGCUGAGAAGUAAUCCGUGAAGAUGAUAGUGUUCUAUGUUGUUCUCUGCUGCUGUCAUUUGUUUCUGUUGGUCUUUUUGUGUCUGUUCUAAGUCUGGGGUGCAGAGCUGGAUGUUGGGGUUGUUUUUACUGCUCCGGAGUGUUCAGUUCUCGUCUGUUGUUUAGUUGGUGCUUAGUUGGUGCUGAUGUCUGUUUGUUGUUUGUUCACUGUUGAUCUGCAAAAAAAGAUGUCUGUCACAGCUUGUAUCACUGUUGACAAUGCAGAUUCGUGUAAAUUAUUGACAGAGAUGGUGUUGACGGAUGUUUCUCUAUUUUGAUCUUCUAUUUGAAUGUACCGCAUUUAUCAGCA